This 536-nucleotide ribosomal RNA is filed under the name uncultured bacterium. Its description in RNAcentral is "bacterial SSU rRNA". It matches the Rfam family "Bacterial small subunit ribosomal RNA", at positions 775 to 1306 of the family's 1533-position model. The record is from RNAcentral.
AGUCAAUAGAUACCCGGGUAGUCCACGCCGUAAACGAUGAGUACUAGGUGUAGGAGGUGUCGACUCCUUCUGUGCCGCAGUUAAACACAAUAAGUACUCCGCCUGGGAAGUACGGUCGCAAGAUUAAAACUCAAAGGAAUUGACGGGGGCCCGCACAAGCAGCGGAGCAUGUGGUUUAAUUCGAAGCAACGCGAAGAACCUUACCUAGACUUGACAUCUCCUGAAUAGCGCAGAGAUGCGUGAAGCCCUUCGGGGUCGAGGAAGACAGGUGGUGCAUGGUUGUCGUCAGCUCGUGUCGUGAGAUGUUGGGUUAAGUCCCGCAACGAGCGUAACCCCUACUUAUUAGUUGCUACCAUUAAGUUGAGCACUCUAAUGAGACUGCCCGGGUUAACCGGGUAGGAAGGCGGGGAUGACGUCAAAUCAUCAUGCCCCUUAUGUCUAGGGCUACACACGUGCUACAAUGGUGAGAACAACGAGAUGCAAUACCGCGAGGUGGAGCAAAACUUGAAAACUCAUCUCAGUUCGGAUUGUAGGCU